Molecule: long non-coding RNA, 216 nt
Filed under: Carica papaya (papaya)
Lineage: Eukaryota; Viridiplantae; Streptophyta; Magnoliopsida; Brassicales; Caricaceae
Description: long non-coding RNA (CPAP_LNC012787)
Source: RNAcentral
UCAGCAGUCCCGGCCAACCAGGGCCUGCCACGUGGCAAGACCGCGUCACUCCAAAAGGAGCCACGUUGGCGAUCCGCGUGGGUGCGAUCCGACGGCCCAGAUCAAUCACGCGAUCGGACGGCCCAGAUUCAAUCGCACGGACGGCCCAGAUUCAAUCAAAAACGAACGGCCCAGAUUAAAACAAAAUGAACGGCUGUGAUCAAAAGGCAAGGGGCU